AUUACGCCUCCCGCACGGACUCACUACGCACACCUGUUUUGAAUUAUUUGUGUUGUAUUUAAGACCACCUGCUGCCUUAGUUCCUCCUGGCUGUUUCGUUUGCUCCCGCAACAACGCGAACGCUGAUCUUGCAGCCGUGUUUGGAACUGUCAGUUUGCCCGUCUUUCUGACACGUGUGUGACGUUUGGCUGGCAUGGAGAUGGGGUGCGUUCUCUCUAGGAUGCAGUUUGGGUUCAGACACAGCGUAAGGUCAAAGGCCAGGCAGGCAAUGCCGUGAGUGUGCACGUCCUUGAGGAUCGACACAGUCUGCACAGUGUAGGAGUCCCACACACAUAUGUAAGGCUCCUUGCCCACCUGUCCAGUAGCUACCAACACACGUUCAGGAUGUAGAGCUAGACUGUAAAGAGAGGAGAAAAGGAAAAAUAACAUAAUAUCAGCGUUGUCAUUUUUGCAUGCCCUUUAUUUGUACUGUGAGAGCUGCAAGCAAGACAAGGAUCAACCCUUCCAGCAAAAACCACUGGGACGAGAUGAACACAUUAAGCCCGUGUUGGGACUGAAUGGGCCAAGAAGAGGGGCAGCUUGAUGUUGUGACAUGGUUGACUGAACUCGUCAUGCUCAUACACACAGACACACAAACACGCACGCAUGCACGUACACACAUGCACACGCACAUACACACAUAGCAUUGCUAAAUGGGUGGCUGAAGGAUAGUCACAGAGUCUAAUAAAUGAUUAUGUUUCAGUCACAUAAAUCAAAUAGUCUCAUUUGAUUAACACAGUACUGUGAAAAACUCAUGAGCAUCAUUCGCUCUGUUGUUUUAGCCGCCCAUGAUUACAAUCAUAUAUAACCGGAAUGUCACUAGAGCUCCACCAACGUCAAAAGGGAAAGUAAAAAGUAUUGUAUGUGUUUUUGCUGGUCCAUGUGUUUGUAAGUUAGCAUGUUUCUUUUUGGUUCAUGAAGGAUGAUAAGAAGACAAGUGAUGCUAUUAUAAUUCUGAGAAAUGUACGGUUUCACUGUUGCCAUAGUGAUGGUGAAAAUAAAAUCUUGUAUCCGCACUUUAA
This is a long non-coding RNA of Nerophis ophidion (straightnose pipefish), 1061 nucleotides long. RefSeq lists it as uncharacterized. Lineage: Eukaryota; Metazoa; Chordata; Actinopteri; Syngnathiformes; Syngnathidae. The record is from RefSeq and is a predicted model, not a curated record. The transcript has 3 exons.